GCAUUUAAUAAUGUAAUACUUCAUUCAUCCACUAGAUGGCAGAGCUGUCAAUCAAAUCAUCAGUAAAUGUUGUCAUAUAUGAAGACUCUUCACUGUGCUUUAGUUUAUGUUUUGACUUUGUUCCCAAUGUAAAAAUUAAAGUCUGAUUUCACUGCACUUUUAUUUUGAGGUCAAAUUAUUCUCACUGAACACAACACUGACCUACAAUACUCAAAACCUUCCCCAGACUUUGUUUUAACUCAAUUUCUUAAAUCCAGAAGAAAGCACAGGGGCUCACUUUAUUAUAAUAAUUGCAAGAGACAAAUCUCACCACAAUCACCUCAAUAUUAUUUUAAAAUCUUACCUGUUUGACUAGAUGGUCAAACUCAUCGACCUCUGAUACUGCACUCGUGCUUCUGUCCUAAUCACAGACAAUCCGACAGAGAGCCAUAACACACUCAUAUGUGACCGAUAUUACUUUUAUAACAUCUACGACGUAACAUAAACCAGUGUGAGAUUGAUUUAUCUUCUACUGACACCAUGCGGUCAUGACUGAAACAACAGCAAACACUCCUCUGAUCUCACACAUGAGCGCGCUCCAAACAUCACGCGCGCGUCAAAGACCACUGUGUGUUUAAAUAUAACUGUUUAUUAAAACAGAAUAUAGGAAAAUGUUGUGUUUUUGAAGCGAAGUCAUUGAUUGUUGACAUAAAUUGUGAAUUUAAGACGUGAGGAGUCAAAUCGAUGUUUAAUUUUGAUUAUUAAUGCCUGAAGUCAUUCUUACGUCAUCAUUAGUGGUCCUUUACUCGUCAGACGGCUCUGUUGUUGUUGUGGGAGCGCAACUGAGGAGAUUUACUUUACAAGACGAAGAGAUAAAACAUGAAUAUGACAAACUACUUUACAAGAAAAGACGGAUUUGUAACAGUCAACAUUUCAGUUAGAGGAGGAAAAUCACAAUCAUCUGAAACAUCUUUACCUGA
Molecule: non-coding RNA, 959 nt
Organism: Misgurnus anguillicaudatus (oriental weatherfish)
Lineage: Eukaryota; Metazoa; Chordata; Actinopteri; Cypriniformes; Cobitidae
Source: RefSeq, a predicted model, not a curated record